Molecule: long non-coding RNA, 1629 nt
Organism: Malurus melanocephalus (red-backed fairy wren)
Lineage: Eukaryota; Metazoa; Chordata; Aves; Passeriformes; Maluridae
Exons: 2
Source: RefSeq, a predicted model, not a curated record
GACCCGGUGGGACCCGGUGGGACACGGUGGGACACGGUGGGACACGGUGGGACCCGGUGGGACCCGGUGGGACCCGGUGGGACCCGGUGGGACACGCUGCACAGUUCGCCGUCAUCUGCCCAAAGCUGCUGAGAAAGAAAGCUGGACCAGCAAAAAUCCUGAAGGCAGACGGUUUUUGGCUUCCCUCACCUCCCAYGUACCCUGCCAGGAACACAGGUGUGCCCACAGUAGUGGCCCUGUCUGAAAACAACAGGCUUUGCUUUUCCCUUACCUGCGCGUCUGCAGUGCUGCCCAACAGCCACAGACAAAAUAGCUAUUCCCACAGGGUCUCUCGUUUUGACUAGGGAACAGCUUCUCACCUUUUUUGCCUUUAUCUUAGUCCAGAACCAAAACAAUACCCAUCUUAUCCACCUGUAAUAGCCUUUUAGCUUCAGGACAGGUUGGCAGGGUCUUCAGGAGAGGAACACAGCAGAAAGCCCCACCCUCCAUAUCAACCAGACAUCCAGUUUGUCACUGCACAGUGUUAACGGCAAAGUGCAAAAGUUUAUUAAAAAAGGAGAUGAAACCUUAUAUAAAAAACCAUAAACACGAACCAACCAGUCCAUACAGAAACUUUCAUUUUCCAGGUGCCUCUUAAAAUAUGUACUCCAAGAUAUGCUCCCACGGCGGAGUUGCUUGAUGGUCUUAAAGCAUGACAGCAGUUCCUGCUUUCUCUGAGACUCUCCUAACCCUUCCCUUUCUCCAGAUCAUGCAAGGACUUGUGCUGCCAGGAAACGAAGCACCUUCUUUCUCCCCUUUGUGCUGUAAGAACCAAUUCCCCAGUGUCAAGCCAGAAGCAUCACUCCUCUCCAGGUUAAGGCCAAAGCACUCAGUUCCAGGAGCCUGAGAAGCCAGAACAGUUUUGCCAUUUGCCAUAAUGAAAUGAAAUCCUCUUGCAAUACUGGCCACAACAUCUUCAGCUAAGUGUUGAAGUUCACAGUGAAGAAGCACAGAUGUUGACACCUGAUCACCCAUUCGCCCUUCCCCUACCACUCAGUCUUGUAAAAGUUUAACCACAGGUAAAGCCCAGCUGUGCUACCAGGAUAUGGACAGUGCUGCCACCAAAGUCCCUUGGUACAGCUGUUUUUGUCUAUGCCAAAUGCGUAUCUACUGCCCACCAAUACAGCAAGAGCCACAGCAGGGAGGGUAAAUGAGCCAGAGAGGGCCCUGUCAGACUCUGCUUCCAUCUGUAAAGACUGGGUGAAAAAGCACAAGUGGGUAGCAUCUGGUGUUUCCAGCAGUUUCAGGAUCCCACAAGCAAAGCAAAUUGCUCUGGCCCACAGGGAACUGUAAACACUCCUGGCACCUUCGAUCUCUAUGAACAGCCCUGGCAUCCAAACAGAAGGUGCAGCAGAACCCCCCAGGGAMCAUAGAAACCCCCCAGUAACCAGUAAACCCCUGCACCAACAGGCUGUGGCAGUGCAGGGGAAAAGGCAUCAUAGACGCAGACCCAUGAGCCUGGAUGGUUGCUUCCUCCUCUCCUUUAUGUUGUCAGGAGGAUGAUUUCUGAACAGCAACAGCAAUUUUCUGUUUGCAAGCCUUUGUGUCAUUCCACUCUGAGAAAACCACCUCAUUUAGGAAGGUGUUGUA